RNAcentral lists this ribosomal RNA (655 nucleotides) under Bacillus sp. (in: firmicutes). RNAcentral's name for it is "bacterial SSU rRNA". It matches the Rfam family "Bacterial small subunit ribosomal RNA", at positions 34 to 674 of the family's 1533-position model. Lineage: Bacteria; Bacillati; Bacillota; Bacilli; Caryophanales; Bacillaceae. The record is from RNAcentral.
CCUUGCCGGCGUGCCUAUACAUGCAGUCGAGCGAAUCGAUGGGAGCUUGCUCCCUGAGAUUAGCGGCGGACGGGUGAGUAACACGUGGGCAACCUGCCUAUAAGACUGGGAUAACUUCGGGAAACCGGAGCUAAUACCGGAUACGUUCUUUUCUCGCAUGAGAGAAGAUGGAAAGACGGUUUACGCUGUCACUUAUAGAUGGGCCCGCGGCGCAUUAGCUAGUUGGUGAGGUAAUGGCUCACCAAGGCGACGAUGCGUAGCCGACCUGAGAGGGUGAUCGGCCACACUGGGACUGAGACACGGCCCAGACUCCUACGGGAGGCAGCAGUAGGGAAUCUUCCGCAAUGGACGAAAGUCUGACGGAGCAACGCCGCGUGAACGAAGAAGGCCUUCGGGUCGUAAAGUUCUGUUGUUAGGGAAGAACAAGUACCAGAGUAACUGCUGGUACCUUGACGGUACCUAACCAGAAAGCCACGGCUAACUACGUGCCAGCAGCCGCGGUAAUACGUAGGUGGCAAGCGUUGUCCGGAAUUAUUGGGCGUAAAGCGCGCGCAGGUGGUUCCUUAAGUCUGAUGUGAAAGCCCACGGCUCAACCGUGGAGGGUCAUUGGAAACUGGGGAACUUGAGUGCAGAAGAGGAAAGUGGAAUUCCAAGU